Molecule: ribosomal RNA, 492 nt
Filed under: uncultured bacterium
Lineage: Bacteria
Description: partial 16S ribosomal RNA
Rfam family: Bacterial small subunit ribosomal RNA
Source: RNAcentral
AUUGAACGCUGGCGGCAUGCUUUACACAUGCAAGUCGAACGGUAACAGGCCUUCGGGUGCUGACGAGUGGCGAACGGGUGAGUAAUGCAUCGGAACGUACCCAGAGGUGGGGGAUAACGCAGCGAAAGCUGUGCUAAUACCGCAUGUGAUCUGAGGAUGAAAGCGGGGGACCGAGCAGCAAUGUUUGGCCUCGCGCCUUUGGAGCGGCCGCUGUCGGAUUAGCUAGUUGGUGGGGUAAAGGCCUACCAAGGCGACGAUCCGUAGCUGGUCUGAGAGGACGGUCAGCCACACUGGGACUGAGACACGGCCCAGACUCCUAAGGGAGGCAGCAGUGGGGAAUUUUGGACAAUGGGCGCAAGCCUGAUACAGCAAUGCCGCGUGCGGGAAGAAGGCCUUCGGGUUGUAAACCGCUUUUGGCAGGAACGAAACGGUGUCCGCUAAUACCGGGCGCUAAUGACGGUACCUGCAGAAGAAGCACCGGCUAACUACGUG